UGACAGAGCAUUAGGCUACUAUUGGUCUUCUGAUGACACCCCCCCCCNGGUUGAACUAUGGGUAGCUGAGGACCACCAUAGGUCUCUGAGCCAGUGCCCUUAUAUACUAUAGGAUGGAAUCCCAAGGACUCAAGAUCCCAGGCCAGCUUGGUGGUUGAAGCUUCGUGGAGGUUACCUAUCCCCAGAAAGGAGCUCUUCAAGGCCAUCUGUCCCAGUGCAAACAGCAUGAGUCCAGACCCAGAGCUUCUGGAAAGCGCACCCUCCUGGGAACUGAAAUGACCAUCCAAGUAUGUAUCCCACUGGCCUAGGGUGAGCAGGUGGCUAAAUCCCAGAUGCAGAAAAAGGAGUGAAACCACUUUCCAGGUAGUCCUUAAGUUUCUAGAGCACAGCCGUUUGAUCACAAAGCAGAAUUGAAGGUUAAUCCCAG
RNAcentral lists this long non-coding RNA (427 nucleotides) under Vulpes vulpes (red fox). RNAcentral's name for it is "lncRNA (ENSVVUG00000012780.1)". The record is from RNAcentral. Lineage: Eukaryota; Metazoa; Chordata; Mammalia; Carnivora; Canidae.